RNAcentral lists this transfer-messenger RNA (186 nucleotides) under Candidatus Omnitrophota bacterium. RNAcentral describes it as "partial transfer-messenger RNA". It matches the Rfam family "transfer-messenger RNA", at positions 1 to 192 of the family's 374-position model. From Rfam's summary of the family: Bacterial tmRNA, also known as 10Sa RNA or SsrA, is named for its dual tRNA and mRNA-like properties. Its role is to liberate the mRNA from a stalled ribosome. The record is from RNAcentral. Lineage: Bacteria; Pseudomonadati; Candidatus Omnitrophota.
GGGGGUGAAUGGACUCGACCUAAAAGGCGAUGCGAAAAGGAGCAUGCCGAGGAUGUGAGUUGCCUGCGAUAGUGGUACUUGCAAAAAAUUAAAUGCAGAAAACACAUUUAAUACCACUCCUGCUUACGCUGUAAGUUAAGGAGGCUCUUCUACUUUUCUGCCUCGGAAAGUAUAAGAGUUCAUUUA